This 440-nucleotide ribosomal RNA is filed under the name uncultured bacterium. RNAcentral describes it as "partial 16S ribosomal RNA". It matches the Rfam family "Bacterial small subunit ribosomal RNA", at positions 338 to 795 of the family's 1533-position model. The record is from RNAcentral.
CCUACGGGUGGCAGCAGUGGGGGAUAUUGCACAAUGGGGGGAACCCUGAUGCAGCGACGCCGCGUGGGUGAAGAAGCGCCUCGGUGCGUAAAGCCCUGUCAGCAGGGAAGAAAAUGACGGUACCUGAAGAAGAAGCCCCGGCUAACUACGUGCCAGCAGCCGCGGUAACACGUAGGGGGCAAGCGUGAUCCGGAUUUACUGGGUGUAAAGGGGGCGCAGACGGCGAUGCAAGCCAGGAGUGAAAGCCCGGGGGCCAACCCCGGGACGGCUCUUGGAACGGCGUGGCUGGAGUGCAGGAGAGGCAGGCGGAAUUCCUGGUGUAGCGGUGAAAUGCGUAGAUAUCAGGAGGAACACCGGUGGCGAAGGCGGCCUGCUGGACUGCAACUGACGUUGAGGCCCGAAAGCGUGGGGAGCAAACAGGAUUAGAUACCCGUGUAGUC